RNAcentral lists this long non-coding RNA (837 nucleotides) under Sinocyclocheilus anshuiensis. RNAcentral describes it as "lncRNA (ENSSANG00000006534.1)". Lineage: Eukaryota; Metazoa; Chordata; Actinopteri; Cypriniformes; Cyprinidae. The record is from RNAcentral.
GUGUUGUUUGUCUGAAGGAUCGCUCGGCUGCCCAUUCAGAACGCAGGGUGCGCACCGGAAGAUCGCUGCAGCAGCAGCAGCAGCAGCAGCACACGGGACCAAAAUGGCGUAGCGCGCAGUCCGCUGCUGCAGCAGCGCAGCGGGGCCAGGCUCACCGAACAUCCCAGAGCCUGGCCCGUCGUACUCCAACCGACGAGUAUGAUGGAGGUGGCUUUUAGUUUCAGUUCACUCGCUUCGAAACCUGCACGAGAUCAGCGGAGACGUGCCCUUCAUAUGUCAAAUCAAGAAGAGAAAGGAACAGUCCUGAAAGGAACUCAUGACCAGAAAAGAUCGUCAUGUCUUUGUUCUUCAAACUGCUCUCCAUCCCGAUAAGUUGACUUUCCUCCAGCGUUAUUUCAGGGAAGUGUUUGUUCAACAUACCAACUGUCACUGGUCUAUGAAAAUAUCAUCUCUGCACUUUGGAGACGACAACUGAAGUUGUUUUUAUCCAUGAAAGAACCAUAAACUCAUCAUGUGUCCAAAAAAGUAACACAAUUGUGCCACAGUAAAGAGCAUCAUCUGGUCAUAUUUGUUAUAAAUAAAUCAAGUGGAGUACUUAUAUGUUGCAGGUUGUGUUAAAGUGAAGUGAAAAAGGAAAUGGCGAAAGUGCACUUGCUUUGCAGGUAAAACAAAUGUACAUUUAAAAACGAAAUCAUGCAAGCAAGAUAAAGUAGCUUCAUCCAACAAUUUUAUUAUCUGCAGAUUAAGUGCCUAGACACAUCUCUUUUGAAAAGCUUCUGUCUCUUGCUUGUCUAUUUCCAUGGCUUAGCUUUAAACCUACAAGUAAAGCACUACUUG